AUACGUAGGGGGCGAGCGUUGUCCGGAAUGAUUGGGCGUAAAGGGCGCGUAGGCGGCCCGGUAAGUCUGGAGUGAAAGUCCUGUUUUUAAGAUGGGAAUUGCUUUGGAUACUGUCGGGCUUGAGUGCAGGAGAGGUAAGUGGAAUUCCCAGUGUAGCGGUGAAAUGCGUAGAGAUUGGGAGGAACACCAGUGGCGAAGGCGACUUACUGGACUGUAACUGACGCUGAGGCGCGAAAGUGUGGGGAGCAAACAGGAUUAGAUACCCUGGUAGUCCACACUGUAAACGAUGAAUGCUAGGUGUAGGAGGUAUCGACCCCUUUUGUGCCGGAGUCAACACAAUAAGCAUUCCGCCUGGGGAGUACGGCCGCAAGGUUGAAACUCAAAUGAAUUGACGGGG
Molecule: ribosomal RNA, 397 nt
Filed under: uncultured bacterium
Lineage: Bacteria
Description: partial 16S ribosomal RNA
Rfam family: Bacterial small subunit ribosomal RNA
Source: RNAcentral